Molecule: ribosomal RNA, 497 nt
Filed under: uncultured bacterium
Lineage: Bacteria
Description: partial 16S ribosomal RNA
Rfam family: Bacterial small subunit ribosomal RNA
Source: RNAcentral
GAUGAACGCUGGCGGCGUGCCUAAUACAUGCAAGUCGAGCGAACAGACGAGGCGCUUGCUCCUCUGACGUUAGCGGCGGACGGGUGAGUAACACGUGGAUAACCUACCUAUAAGACUGGGAUAACUUCGGGAAACCGGAGCUAAUACCGGAUAAUAUAUUGAACCGCAUGGUUCAAUAGUGAAAGACGGUUUUGCUGUCACUUAUAGAUGGAUCCGCGCCGCAUUAGCUAGUUGGCAAGGUAACGGCUUACCAAGGCGACGAUGCGUAGCCGACCUGAGAGGGUGAUCGGCCACACUGGAACUGAGACACGGUCCAGACUCCUACGGGAGGCAGCAGUAGGGAAUCUUCCGCAAUGGGCGAAAGCCUGACGGAGCAACGCCGCGUGAGUGAAGAAGGUCUUCGGAUCGUAAAACUCUGUUAUUAGGGAAGAAAAAAUGUGUAAGGAAAUAUGCACGUCUUGACGGUACCGAAUCAGAAAGCCACGGCUAACUACGUG